This 485-nucleotide ribosomal RNA is filed under the name uncultured bacterium. RNAcentral describes it as "bacterial SSU rRNA". It matches the Rfam family "Bacterial small subunit ribosomal RNA", at positions 34 to 531 of the family's 1533-position model. The record is from RNAcentral.
CGCUGGCGGCGUGCUUAACACAUGCAAGUCGAACGAGAACGGGUUAUAGCUUGCUAUAAUUGUCAGCUAAGUGGCGCACGGGUGAGUAAUGUAUAGGUAUAUGCCUCUUACUAAGGGAUAACAAAUGGAAACGUUUGCUAAUACCUUAUACUCCUUAUUAACAGAAGUUAAUAAGGGAAAGAUUUAUUGGUAAGAGAUUAGCCUGUAUUGUAUCAGUUAGUUGGUGGGGUAAUGGCUUACCAAGACUAUGACACAUAACUGGUUUGAGAGGAUGAUCAGUCACACUGGAACUGAGACACGGUCCAGACUCCUACGGGAGGCAGCAGUGGGGAAUAUUGCACAAUGGACGAAAGUCUGAUGCAGCAACGCCGCGUGGAGGAUGACACAUUUCGGUGCGUAAACUCCUUUUAUAUGAGAAGAUAAUGACGGUAUUAUAUGAAUAAGCACCGGCUAACUCCGUGCCAGCAGCCGCGGUAAUACGGGGG